UAGGGAAUAUUGCUUAAUGGGCGAAAGCCUGAAGCAGCAACGCCGCGUGUGUGAAGAAGGCCUUCGGGUUGUAAAACACUUUUUGAGGGGAUGAGGAAGGACAGUACCCUCAGAAUAAGCCUCGGCUAACUACGUGCCAGCAGCCGCGGUAAAACGUAGGAGGCGAGCGUUAUCCGGAUUUACUGGGCGUAAAGCGCGUGCAGGCGGCACGGCAAGUUGUAUGUGAAAGCUCCCGGCUUAACUGGGAGAGGUCGUUCAAAACUGC
RNAcentral lists this ribosomal RNA (265 nucleotides) under uncultured bacterium. RNAcentral describes it as "partial 16S ribosomal RNA". It matches the Rfam family "Bacterial small subunit ribosomal RNA", at positions 355 to 636 of the family's 1533-position model. The record is from RNAcentral.